Molecule: ribosomal RNA, 443 nt
Filed under: uncultured bacterium
Lineage: Bacteria
Description: partial 16S ribosomal RNA
Rfam family: Bacterial small subunit ribosomal RNA
Source: RNAcentral
CCUACGGGAGGCAGCAGUGGGGAAUAUUGCACAAUGGGCGAAAGCCUGAUGCAGCAACGCCGCGUGAAGGAAGAAGGGUUUCGGCUCGUAAACUUCUAUCAACAGGGACGAAAGAAAUGACGGUACCUGCAUAAGAAGCCCCGGCUACCUACGGGCCAGCAGCCGCGGUAAUACGUAGGGGGCAAGCGUUAUCCGGAUUUACUGGGUGUAAAGGGUGAGUAGGCGGCAUGGUAAGCCAGAUGUGAAAGCCUUGGGCUUAACCCGAGGAUUGCAUUUGGAACUAUCAAGCUAGAGUACAGGAGAGGAAAGCGGAAUUCCUAGUGUAGCGGUGAAAUGCGUAGAUAUUAGGAAGAACACCAGUGGCGAAGGCGGCUUUCUGGACUGCAACUGACGCUGAGGCACGAAAGCGUGGGGAGCGAACAGGAUUAGAUACCCUAGUAGUC